UGGAUGUGUAUGCGGGGGCGUCGCUGGGUGUUGUUGAGGCCCUAAUUGUGUUUUAUUUCUUUCAGACUUAUGGGCUUCUAUGAGUGGCUGAGGUCCAGGAUUCUUUGAAGAACCUUUAGAGCUCGUUUGUAACAGCAGCGAUUUGAAGGAAAAAACUGGAGUUUUCUCCCAAUUGUGAGUACCAAAAUCCUUUUCUUCCCCUUAUGCUAAGAUGCUCAAACAUUUG
RNAcentral lists this unclassified non-coding RNA (226 nucleotides) under Hevea brasiliensis (rubber tree). The record is from RNAcentral. Lineage: Eukaryota; Viridiplantae; Streptophyta; Magnoliopsida; Malpighiales; Euphorbiaceae.